This 402-nucleotide long non-coding RNA is filed under the name Canis lupus familiaris (dog). Its description in RNAcentral is "lncRNA (ENSCAFG00000059265.1)". The record is from RNAcentral. Lineage: Eukaryota; Metazoa; Chordata; Mammalia; Carnivora; Canidae.
GUUGAUACAGUGUUUUGGGUGAACUUGACUGUGGUUUUCUUAACUAUUUUCUGAAUUGUUAGUACAACGAUGUCUCUUUACAAUAGUUACUGCACAGAGGCGGUCUUAUUUGAUCUUCUUCUCAAAAAAGGCUGUUUCUUUGUUGUUCUCAGGAAGGCGAAAUAUUCUUCCAUUUUCAGCCCAGCAGAGUGGAAUUUAUACCCAAACAUCCUCAUCAGAUUGACAAAGCAUCCUGCAGGGACAUCAUGGAGCUCAUUUAAUCUCUGGGAGAGAACGGCACAGACCUCUGUGGCCGAAGUGCUGGCAUCAUCUGUCCACGCAUCCAGCAUCAGCCAGCUGGACAGGCAAAGUGGAGGAAGGGACCGGGUGACCAGCGUGCGCGGUACAGAGAAGCCCAAGUGA